CUGGUUGAUCCAGUCCGUUGUCCAUAACCUUGUAUCAAAGGUUAAGCCAUGCAUGUCUAAACAUACGCAAAUUAUACUGUGAAACUGCGAAUGGCUCAUUCAAUCAGUUAUUGUUUUUUUGAUGUUUCUUGGUACCUGGCAGACUGUGGUAAUUUUAGAGUUAAUACCUGGGUAAAAAGCCCCGAAUUCUGGAAGGGGUGUUUUUAUUAGGUUAAAACCAUCCUCCUCGGAGUUUGGUGAUUCCUAAUAAAUUCUCGAAUUGCACGGCCUUGUGCCGGCGAUGCUUCAUUCAAAUAUUUGCCCUAUCAACUUUCGAUGGUAGGAUAGAGGCCUACCAAGGUUGGAACGGGUAACGGGGAAUAAGGGUUUGAUUCCGGAGAGGGAGCCUGAGAAACGGCUACCACAUCCAAGGAAGGCAGCAGGCGGGCAAAUUACCCAAUCCCGACACGGGGAGGGAGUGACAAUAAAUAACAAUACCGGGCGCUUCGGGUUUGGUAAUUGGAAAGAGUACAAUCUAAAUCCCUUAACGAGGA
RNAcentral lists this ribosomal RNA (533 nucleotides) under uncultured eukaryote. RNAcentral describes it as "partial 18S ribosomal RNA". It matches the Rfam family "Eukaryotic small subunit ribosomal RNA", at positions 4 to 543 of the family's 1831-position model. The record is from RNAcentral.